UAGGGAAUCUUCCACAAUGGACGCAAGUCUGAUGGAGCAACGCCGCGUGAGUGAAGAAGGUUUUCGGACCGUAAAGCUCUGUUGUUGGUGAAGAAGGAUAGAGGUAGUAACUGGCCUUUAUUUGACGGUAAUCAACCAGAAAGUCACGGCUAACUACGUGCCAGCAGCCGCGGUAAAUCGUAGGUGGCAAGCGUUGUCCGGAUUUAUUGGGCGUAAAGCGAGCGCAGGCGGAAGAAUAAGUCUGAUGUGAAAGCCCUCGGCUUAACCGAGGAAUUGCAUCGGAAACUGUUUUCUGAGUGCAGAAGAGGAGAGUAGAACUCCAUGUGUAGCGGUGGAAUGCGUAGAUAUAUGGAAGAAUACCAGUGGCGAAGGCGGCUCUCUGGUCUGCAACUGACGCUGAGGCUCGAAAGCAUGGGUAGCGAACAGGAUUAGAUACCCUGGUAGUCCAUGCCGUAAACGAUGAGUGCUAAGUGUUGGGAGGCUUCCGCCUCUCAGUGCUGCAGCUAACGCAUUAAGCACUCCGCCUGGGGAGUACGACCGCAAGGUUGAAAC
This 552-nucleotide ribosomal RNA is filed under the name uncultured bacterium. RNAcentral describes it as "partial 16S ribosomal RNA". It matches the Rfam family "Bacterial small subunit ribosomal RNA", at positions 355 to 900 of the family's 1533-position model. The record is from RNAcentral.